Molecule: non-coding RNA, 26 nt
Filed under: Homo sapiens (human)
Lineage: Eukaryota; Metazoa; Chordata; Mammalia; Primates; Hominidae
Source: RNAcentral
UAGACUGCGUUGAAUUUCCUAACUUU